RNAcentral lists this ribosomal RNA (370 nucleotides) under uncultured organism. RNAcentral describes it as "bacterial SSU rRNA". It matches the Rfam family "Bacterial small subunit ribosomal RNA", at positions 526 to 896 of the family's 1533-position model. The record is from RNAcentral.
CGAAGGGGGCUAGCGUUGCUCGGAAUUACUGGGCGUAAAGGGAGCGUAGGCGGACAGUUAAGUCAGAGGUGAAAGCCCAGGGCUCAACCCUGGAAUUGCCUUUGAUACUGAUUGUCUUGAGUAUGGGAGAGGUGUGCGGAACUCCGAGUGUAGAGGUGAAAUUCGUAGAUAUUCGGAAGAACACCAGUGGCGAAGGCGGCACACUGGCCCAUUACUGACGCUGAGGCUCGAAAGCGUGGGGAGCAAACAGGAUUAGAUACCCUGGUAGUCCACGCCGUAAACGAUGAGUGCUAGUUGUGGGGGACAUACAACCUCCGCGCCGGAGCAAACGCAUUAAGUAUCCCGCCUGGGGAGUACGGUCGCAAGGCUG